Molecule: long non-coding RNA, 1694 nt
Organism: Cucumis melo (muskmelon)
Lineage: Eukaryota; Viridiplantae; Streptophyta; Magnoliopsida; Cucurbitales; Cucurbitaceae
Exons: 3
Source: RefSeq, a predicted model, not a curated record
GGCAACCGCCUACUCCCGGUUCCAUCUUCCUCCUUCGCUUUCUGCAACUUCUCACGCGCUCUCACUCGCCAUCUUUCCUUCUUUCUCUCUGUCCCAAACCCAAUGCCCUCUCUUCUUCUUCUCUCCCUCUUCACACCCAUCAUCACAACAAAAAACCUCAAAACCUCGCCCCUCUCAGUUCCCCAUACUCAUUCUUCCACAACAUUCCUACUCGAGUUUCGAGAGAAUCUCUCCUAUUUCCCUGCCUAUUUUGACGUCCAAUAUGGCUUCAUCCAAGCUCUUCCCUUCUUCAAAUUCGCGAAAUUCAAAUCUAUCUCGGUGUUCUUCUUCUUCUUCCUCUUCUGCCUCCCUUUUAAAACCCCAAUUUCUCUCCAAUCAUUCGAGGAAUUAUGACUCCCCAUCUCGUAAUCCACCACCCCAUACAAUGACCGUCGAUGGCUUACUUCCUAAUGGCUACAAUUCUAAUCCCACGGAGUCGUCUAUUCUCUUAGAUGCACAGAUUACUCUUGUUGAUUCUUCUAACCCCUAUUCUCUUCCCAUCAAUACAACCACCCCCACCAUCACUAAUUCCUCUGUCGUCAUCGAUAGUAAUCAUAAUUCUUCCUCUGCUGCAUCACCCACUAAAACUGUGGAUGAUGUGUAGAGGGAGAUUGUUUCUGGUGAGAGGAAGGAAUUGAAGGAGGAGGUUGCUAAUAAGAUCAUAACCCUUGAGGAUUUUCUUAUGAAAUAUGGAGUUGUGCCUGUCGAGGAUAUUAAAUUUCCUCAGACUGAGAGGCUCAGUGGUGGGAAUUUUUUGUUUGAUCCAAUUCCUUCCACCACAUUCCAGGCAUUAGAUAAGGUUGGAGGAUCCAUUAUUGGAUUUGCUAAUGGGGUUGAUUUGAUUGGUAGUAGUGGAAGUGGGGGGAGAGGUAAAAGAGGUCGAGCUACUUUGGAACCUUUAGAUAAAGCUGCAGAGCAAAGACAAAGGAGGAUGAUCAAGAACAGGGAGUCUGCAGCAAGGUCUAGGGAACGUGUGUGGUAUGCAAAGGAGAUCAUUUUUUAAUAGGAAACCAUCAAAUAUGUGGAAAUCUCCAGCAUAUGCCGAGAGGACUAAAGAGAGGCUCAAGCAGCUAAUGGACAAGGUGAUUCUUGUGGUUGAAAAGCGACGACCCCAGCGAGUGAUUCGACGAGUUAAUUCCAUGCAAUGGUGAACUAUGCAUCUUCCACAACACAGGUACAACCGAUAAUGAAAGCAGUAGGGGCAAGAAGAAACAGAAAGAGAGAGAUAGGCAAUAGUAUUUAACAGUUACUUAAAAACAUAUUCUUCGGUGCUGAAAGGAAAAGUGCAGGGAAUAUAAUGAACAAUCCUUUUAUCAAAGAACUGAUUGGGCAGAGACGACAACAACAGCAACAAGAUACAUGAAAAAACAGAUGAUUUAUAGGUGUUAUUACAACAAAGUGGAUCAGAGCAAAUAAAGAAGGUAGAAACUUGAGAUGCUCUGUCUCACAUUUUUUUGCUUUUUUUCUAAAUGCAUGAGAGAGUAAAUAGAGGAAGAAGUUGAGUUCGAGUGGUAGCAUUUUAUAUGGUUUUGUUGGAUAGUUGAAAUCUAACAACAUAUGACAAAACUAUUCCUUGUUUUGUUAUAAUACAUACAAUUGCUAGAAUAGUGUAGUGGGUGGUGGUAAUAGAGGUAUAUAUAAUUUAUGAUUGGUUA